Molecule: RNA transcript, 4027 nt
Organism: Scylla paramamosain (green mud crab)
Lineage: Eukaryota; Metazoa; Arthropoda; Malacostraca; Decapoda; Portunidae
Exons: 14
Source: RefSeq, a predicted model, not a curated record
GAAUUAGGAUGAAAAAUAGAUACUGAAGCUAUUAUUAUCAGCCAUAAACAUAUUUUCCACAAAAGUAGUUCGAUACAUACUUUUUAUUGUAAAUUAAAUCGAUACAUAUGUUGAUAUUACACUUUGAUCUUGGGCAAAAGACUGAGGCGCCACGUUUGUGAGAUAGGCAUCAUUGAUAACACCAAAGAGAUAACACGCACUGCUAGCGAGCGGAGUGAGAGAGAGAGAGAAAGAGAGAGAGAGAGAGAGAGAGUAAUAACUGUGAUAAUAACAUUUUACACUUAAUGGGUGUUGGUCAAAGGUGCAUCAGAGUGAUCACAUUGAAGGGAACCGUCCUCCCAUGAAUGUGCCAGCAGAUGUCUCCACGCAUCUCAACUCUGCAGCGGAUCGAAAAUGACAAAAUUGAAAUUUGGAAGAUGGAGGGCAAAAUUUCAACAGAGUUCUCUCAUCAGUGUUUUAUAUUAGUUUUUCAAAAUUGGUUGGCAUUGGAAGGAUUAUAAAAAUUCAGGACAGUUUUGUUGUUGGGCUUUCUGCAGCAUUCGUAUUAUACAGCAAGGCAUUCAUCACAGAAAGAGACGGAUACUUCAUGACAAAUCUCAUCAUUAUGUCGCAAGAAUACAGUCUAUAGAUAUUCUAAAUAUAAAGUACUGAGACAAUUUCACACAACAUCAAACCCUGGGGAAAAUGGACACAACUCGCAAAAGAGAAAGUUCUGACCACUUAAAUUUGAUAAAGCAACUGAAAGUUCUUUACUUCAGAGUACAGAUUGGUAUGCAGACAAGUGAAGUAUCAGAUGCCCUUACAAGCCUCAGCUGUCACAUGAAUUUAUUACAUAAAACAACUGGCCCAGACAAACUGGCUAUAGAACUUUUAAAGUUCUCUCAAUCAUUACAGUCCAAUACAAAAUUAGCUGAAUGUUUCCUGGUUCAGUUUAUGAAUUAUAUAGAAUCAACCAUAGACUUGGAAGAGAACUUGGAUACAGUUAAGGAAAUCAUAAGAUAUUUGCUUCCCUGCAUUAAUGUUGCACUGAAGAAUCAACCUAAAGAACAGAUCCCAAACAAGCUUCUUAAGGAUGACUUCCUCUCUAAUCUGUACAAAGCUAUAGUAAAUACUUUCAGAAAAGAAAGCCUAUACCAAGAAGGUUCAACUACAGAUAUAUUGAACUAUCAGAACACUGAAGACAGAACAGUUAAGGCACAUAUUGUAAGAAUGAAUCAAAGAGACUCUAAAAGAACAUUUCAAGAGACUUUUGGUGACUAUGGUAACAUUGCAAGUCUUUACCUUAUCUAUGUGUGGCAGAUCUACAUGAUUUAUGAGAUCAGAAAAGAAAACUCUGUACAGUCCUCAAUACACAGCCUCACACAAACUAUGGAGAAAUCUGGAAAAUAUAUAGUAGUUGUAUCUGACAAAGAUCUGAAGAAAAUGGCUUUGACUGAUCCCUUGUCACCAGCUGGAAGAUACUACAAAAUCCUGACACAAACUGACAAGGUAGCAGCCCGUCACCCAAUACCAGACCUAGACUUUGAGUGGACAGACCUCCAGAUCAGUGUGCUGCAUCCAAAUGGAGUUGCUUUCCUUGCCAACUCUGCCACAUGGAACGACAGCCUCAGAAAAAUCUCGUCCACCAUUGAGGGCCUGGAGGUGAAGAGAUCCCUAAGAUUCGUACCAGCUCUUGGUUCAACAUUUGCUCUGUCAGUAAAGCAGUCUGGCAUGAAUACUAACAAUAAAGCAGAGGGUGUCAGCUUCAUCCGAGUACGAGUGGUGAGAGUGACACAGUCCAUUUGUGGAGUAUAUGGAAUAGACACAGGCAGCUUUUACUCGUGCAGAGCCAGGAAUUUGGUGCUCCUUCCAGCCUCCAUCAUAAACCUGCCUCCUUGUGGGCGACUGGCAAGACUUCCGGUUGUGCCUUCACCAGCCUCCUCAUCAGUGGCUCCUGCACUGUCCCUGGUGGCAGCCUUGGCCCAGCAUACCACCCUGGCCCUGAGCCUCUCACCAGGAGACAUCCUACAGGCCAGUCUUUGGUUGCAAGUAGCAGAAUUGAACCUCCCAACCCUGCAUUUCCUAAAGGCACUGACAUGCCAGCCUGCCACUCAUCAUUUAUUAUCCACUAUUGCAUCAGUAGUUGCAGAUCAUCUACUGAGAUUGACAGAGGGUGACCAGCCAAACCGGGAAGUUACCAUUCUUCUCAUCUCUAUUCUCACUUUGACAAUGAAUAAAUCAUCAAAAAUUUCUCUCAUGUUAGCCAGAAGAGGAUUAUUUACUGCACUGUGUGAGGCAGCCCUCACAUGGCAGUGCCAGGAAGUGUGGGAAUGUAUCAAAGUUUUGCUUGGCAAAAAACAAAUGAUAAUGAAAUUUCUUAGUCACAACAACAGAGCAGCACAUCUUGAAGCUCCAGUAAGAAAUCUGAAACCACUUCAGCCUUGUAAAGCAAGAAGUGCUGACAGCCUUGACACUUCACCAACUGUAAUGCAGAUGGCAAACCUUUCAACUCCAGAUUAUAAUUGGGAUUUGAAAAUGAGAGCCACUUUCACCUCUCCCCAGCUGGUCCAGAACCCUUGUCUGGGCAACUGGUGCUGGGACAAAGAUGAAGUCUUGUCCAGCCAUACAAGUGUCCUUCAGAGAGGUCAUCACUUGGGUGUGAAAACUGACCUUACCCAUCAUGUCUUACAGGAAAGGAAUGUUUCCAGCAUCUGCUCUGACACUCUUUUACAGAUUAUUUUGGGAAUGCUGAACACACAUCUUGGAGGCAAGAUCUACAUUGGGCUAAGCCAGUUUGGAGUGGUGGAAGGAAUCAAGAUGACUAGGGAUCAGCAAGACUGCUUUCUGCUUGGUUUUUGCAAGAUUGUAACAUCUGACAUUUAUCCAAGCCUUCUACCAUGUGACUCGGUUGCCCACUUUGUACCAGUGCAGCAGCCUGAUGCAGCUUCUCCACAAUCAGAAUUUGCAUAUUAUGUCAUCAUCCUCACGAUACAACCAGAGCCCAAACAAGUGUAUUUUCCCAAAGACCAUCCAGGAAAGCUGUACAUAAGAGAUGGAGGUGUCACCCUCACACUGCACGGGUCAUGUCAGGCUGAACUACUCUCAAAAUCUCACAUUUGGGCUCAGGAGCUAGAGCAACAAGUAAAAGAAGAAAAACAAGCAUUGCUGCAACUAGCAAUAGGCAGAAGUCAUCAGCAUUGACCCAACUUCUUCGCAAGUAACUUCCGACCCUCCUCUCCAGUAAAGUAAUCCCUGAGAGCAUCAACAGCUCGGAAGCGCAUGGUGUCUUGGUAUACGCACCUUUGGGCUGAAAGCAAGGGUCCCAUCCAAAGUUGUUAUCACCGCGAGGUUCAACUAUUGUACCCAGAGUUUUGCCAUGGAAGAGAAGCACCUCCUCCUUUGGCUCUCCAGAAGAAUAUGCAAAUGUGCAGACUGCUUCAGCAGACUGUAAAUAAAAACUGUGUUAGUAUUAUUGGUUCAAGUGUUAUCCAUAAAAGGAAAUACUCAAUCAUAAAAGCAAAAUAUAAGAAUUAUGUCAGAUAUAAUAACAUUUACCAAGUAUAAGAUCCAGUAUCAAGGUUUCAAAAUCUUAUUUUAAGGUGACACUGGAGGAUAAAUUUCCAACUUGAGAUCUGUCCAGCAGUCACAUAGUCCAUAAGGGUAAUCAACCACACAGAGGUGGAUGACAUUCGGACAGUUUAUUUCUAAACUGCUGGUCUUAGCUUAACAUCUGAAAAAUAUAUUAAAUAACUAUUGCCAGACAAUAGUAGUUAUCCUCCUCACCUUAUCCUCAAAACCUGCAAGCAUUUUAUGAAGACCUGUAGGCCCCAGCUUUUCCAAAAACCAUUUUAUAUAAGGACCUGAAAAAAGUGACAUGCAAAACAAACAUUUAUUAUCAUGAGAUGACAAUGAUAUGAAUAUACUACCGAUAUUGGCUACUUAAGUAACAACAUAUUAUUUCAGCCUACAUUUUACUGUCACUUAUUUCCGCACCUGAAAGGAGCACCAGAAUGAAAUAAAAAAAUUUUACCAAAUGAAAAGAACAAAA